This 492-nucleotide ribosomal RNA is filed under the name uncultured bacterium. Its description in RNAcentral is "partial 16S ribosomal RNA". It matches the Rfam family "Bacterial small subunit ribosomal RNA", at positions 29 to 507 of the family's 1533-position model. The record is from RNAcentral.
AGUGAACGCUGGCGGUAGGCCUAACACAUGCAAGUCGAACGGCAGCACAGUAAGAGCUUGCUCUUACGGGUGGCGAGUGGCGGACGGGUGAGGAAUACAUCGGAAUCUACUUUUUCGUGGGGGAUAACGUAGGGAAACUUACGCUAAUACCGCAUACGACCUACGGGUGAAAGCAGGGGAUCUUCGGACCCUGCGCGAUUGAAUGAGCCGAUGUCGGAUUAGCUAGUUGGCGGGGUAAAGGCCCACCAAGGCGACGAUCCGUAGCUGGUCUGAGAGGAUGAUCGGCCACACUGGAACUGAGACACGGUCCAGACUCCUACGGGAGGCAGCAGUGGGGAAUAUUGGACAAUGGGCGCAAGCCUGAUCCAGCCAUACCGCGUGGGUGGAGAAGGCCUUCGGGUUGUAAAGCCCUUUUGUUGGGAAAGAAAAGCAGCAGGUUAAUACCCCGCUGUUCUGACGGUACCCAAAGAAUAAGCACCGGCUAACUUCGUG